RNAcentral lists this ribosomal RNA (735 nucleotides) under uncultured Staphylococcus sp. RNAcentral describes it as "bacterial SSU rRNA". It matches the Rfam family "Bacterial small subunit ribosomal RNA", at positions 42 to 759 of the family's 1533-position model. The record is from RNAcentral. Lineage: Bacteria; Bacillati; Bacillota; Bacilli; Caryophanales; Staphylococcaceae.
GCGUGCCUAAUACAUGCAAGUCGAGCGAACAGACGAGGAGCUUGCUCCUCUGACGUUAGCGGCGGACGGGUGAGUAACACGUGGAUAACCUACCUAUAAGACUGGGAUAACUUCGGGAAACCGGAGCUAAUACCGGAUAAUAUAUUGAACCGCAUGGUUCAAUAGUGAAAGACGGUUUUGCUGUCACUUAUAGAUGGAUCCGCGCCGCAUUAGCUAGUUGGUAAGGUAACGGCUUACCAAGGCAACGAUGCGUAGCCGACCUGAGAGGGUGAUCGGCCACACUGGAACUGAGACACGGUCCAGACUCCUACGGGAGGCAGCAGUAGGGAAUCUUCCGCAAUGGGCGAAAGCCUGACGGAGCAACGCCGCGUGAGUGAUGAAGGUCUUCGGAUCGUAAAACUCUGUUAUUAGGGAAGAACAAAUGUGUAAGUAACUAUGCACGUCUUGACGGUACCUAAUCAGAAAGCCACGGCUAACUACGUGCCAGCAGCCGCGGUAAUACGUAGGUGGCAAGCGUUAUCCGGAAUUAUUGGGCGUAAAGCGCGCGUAGGCGGUUUUUUAAGUCUGAUGUGAAAGCCCACGGCUCAACCGUGGAGGGUCAUUGGAAACUGGAAAACUUGAGUGCAGAAGAGGAAAGUGGAAUUCCAUGUGUAGCGGUGAAAUGCGCAGAGAUAUGGAGGAACACCAGUGGCGAAGGCGACUUUCUGGUCUGUAACUGACGCUGAUGUGCGAAAG